Molecule: non-coding RNA, 115 nt
Organism: Kwoniella newhampshirensis
Lineage: Eukaryota; Fungi; Basidiomycota; Tremellomycetes; Tremellales; Cryptococcaceae
Source: the annotation of a GenBank genome assembly
UACGGCCAUAGAAUCGAGGAAACGCAGCGUCCCGUCCGCUUCGCUAAGCUAAGCUCGAUAUCGCCUGGGCAGUACCAAGGUCGGGGACGACUUGGGAAUACCGGGUGCUGUAGUU